AGGCAGCCCAGCAGCUGGAGGACAUGUGCCCAGCACCCUGCAAGGGCCACAUGCAGAAUGAGGACUGCCACCACAUGCCAGCACGGGGAACUGGGAGGGAAAAUCAGCCAGGUAUUGGGUAAUGUUGUCCCACUGUGCUGACGCAUGAGGCAGGGUGUGCCCCCGACCCCAGGGAGGUAUUGAUGUAGCACAAUCACGGAAUCACGGAAUCUGCUGACUUGGAAGGGACCCUCCAGGAUCAUGGAGCCUGACUCCUUCUGGACCAGAGUGACAUUCAGGGAGGUGGUUUAGCUUCACUGGUUUAAUCAAGAGCUCCAGAGCUGAACGUGCAAAAAUGAUGUGCUGCAUUUUACUGAGAAAAUAAGAGAUCUGAUCAGAAGAUCUGUUUUCCUUAUCACCACUAAUUGCCCUGAUGAUGACGAUGUGUGCAGAUGACACUGGAGAAUGAUGUUGGAAAUAGAGACACAAAAUGGUCAG
Molecule: long non-coding RNA, 477 nt
Organism: Pyrgilauda ruficollis (rufous-necked snowfinch)
Lineage: Eukaryota; Metazoa; Chordata; Aves; Passeriformes; Passeridae
Exons: 5
Source: RefSeq, a predicted model, not a curated record